This 437-nucleotide long non-coding RNA is filed under the name Actinidia chinensis (golden kiwifruit). Its description in RNAcentral is "long non-coding RNA (ACHI_LNC007455)". Lineage: Eukaryota; Viridiplantae; Streptophyta; Magnoliopsida; Ericales; Actinidiaceae. The record is from RNAcentral.
CUCCAAAAUAAGUUGCUCGAAGCAACCAUAUAGCCCGGACCAAACCCUCUGGCAUUUGAACUCCCAAACAGUCCCUCGGUCGUCAGCCCAAGUGUCUUUGUACGCAUAUCUACAGUAGUCUGGGUACAGAAUACGGACACACACCUCUACAGUUGUUUAGCAGUCUCCUUCUUCGCCGGCCAAGCGAUUAAAGCUCAUACAUUACCAGAUCUCUCCCUCCCUCUCUCUCUCUGGUACUAGCUUUCCGUUCUCAUCGUCCUCCACACCACACUCAUCUCUCUCUAGUAACUAUUAACCGCAUGUGUUUUCUAUUAGCAUUUAUUUUUGGGCACAAGGGCUUCGAAUUUGAAUUCGAUGGAGAUCUAGUUGAAAUUUCACUUUCAUUCAGAAAACCUAGGUGUUCGACCAAUGCAAAGCUCGACGACCUCGGGCGGCCC